Molecule: ribosomal RNA, 449 nt
Filed under: uncultured bacterium
Lineage: Bacteria
Description: partial 16S ribosomal RNA
Rfam family: Bacterial small subunit ribosomal RNA
Source: RNAcentral
AACGAGCGCUGGCGGCAGGCUUAACACAUGCAAGUCGAACGAGAUCUUCGGAUCUAGUGGCAGACGGGUGAGGAACACGUGGGAACAUCCCUUUCAGUUCGGAAUAACGUUGGGAAACUAACGCUAAUACCGGAUACGUCCUUCGGGAGAAAGAUUUAUCGCUGAAAGAUUGGCCCGCGUCUGAUUAGCUAGUUGGUGAGGGAAUGGCUCACCAAGGCUACGAUCAGUAGCUGAGCUGAGAGGAUAAUCAGCCACAUUGGGACUGAGACACGGCCCAAACUCCUACGGGAGGCAGCAGUGGGGAAAAUUGGACAAUGGGCGCAAGCCUGAUCCAGCCAUGCCGCGUGAGUGAUGACGGCCUUCGGGUUGUAAAGCUCUUUUGUCCGGGAAGAUAAUGACUGUACCGGAAGAAUAAGCCCCGGCAAACUUCGUGCCAGCAGCCGCUGUAA